This 301-nucleotide ribosomal RNA is filed under the name uncultured bacterium. RNAcentral's name for it is "partial 16S ribosomal RNA". It matches the Rfam family "Bacterial small subunit ribosomal RNA", at positions 509 to 807 of the family's 1533-position model. The record is from RNAcentral.
CAGUAGCCACGUAAUACGUAGGUGGCAAGCGUUGUCCGGAAUUAUUGGGCGUAAAGGGCUCGCAGGCGGUUUCUUAAGUCUGAUGUGAAAGCCCCCGGCUCAACCGGGGAGGGCCAUUGGAAACUGGGAAACUUGAGUGCAGAAGAGGAGAGUGGAAUUCCACGUGUAGCGGUGAAAUGCGUAGAGAUGUGGAGGAACACCAGUGGCGAAGGCGACCCUCUGGUCUGUAACUGACGCUGAGGAGACGAAAGCUAGAGGAGCAAAUGGGAUUAGAUACCCCCGUAGUCCCUGUCUCUUAUAC